ACCCUUGGGGGCCUCCACCCAUUAAGGACGCUUGGCGGCGGGCCUAAUACAUGCAAGUCGAACGCAGUCGACCUUCGGGUCAUAUGACUGAGUGGCGAACGGGUGAGUAACACGUGAGAAACCUGCCCCGAAGACUGGAAUAACCCGAGGAAACUCGGGCUAAUACCGGAUGUCCCCAGAUGGCCGCAUGGCCGACUGAGGAAAUGCUCCGGCGCUUUGGGAGGGUCUCGCGGCCUAUCAGCUUGUUGGUGAGGUAACGGCUCACCAAGGCUUCGACGGGUAGCUGGUCUGAGAGGACGAUCAGCCACACUGGGACUGAGAUACGGCCCAGACUCCUACGGGAGGCAGCAGUAGGGAAUCUUGCGCAAUGGGCGAAAGCCUGACGCAGCCACGCCGCGUGAGUGAUGAAGGCCUUCGGGUCGUAAAGCUCUUUCAGCAGGGACGAAAAUGACGGUACCUGCAGAAGAAGCCCCGGCCAACUACGUGCCAGCAGCCGCGGUAACACGUAGGGGGCAAGCGUUGUCCGGAUUUAUUGGGCGUAAAGGGCUCGUAGGCUGUUCAGUAAGUCAGGUGUGAAAACUCGAGGCUCAACCUCGAGACGCCACUUGAUACUGCUGUGACUAGAGUUCGGUAGAGGAGUGUGGAAUUCCUAGUGUAGCGGUGAAAUGCGCAGAUAUUAGAGAACACCAACAGCGAUGCAGCACUCUGGCCGAUACUGACGCUGAGGAGCGAAGCGUGGGAGCGAACAGAUUAGAUACCCUGUAGUCCACGCCGUAACGGUGGGCACUGAAUGUGGGAUCCAGUCAACGGAAUCCGGGUCGUAG
Molecule: ribosomal RNA, 824 nt
Filed under: uncultured Actinomycetes bacterium
Lineage: Bacteria; Bacillati; Actinomycetota; Actinomycetes
Description: bacterial SSU rRNA
Rfam family: Bacterial small subunit ribosomal RNA
Source: RNAcentral